UUGAGGACCAGGGUUGGGAAACACUGCUCUAGAACACACCCCCAGGAAUCUCGUGGAUAAAAGGAUGUGGAUCAUGUCCUGCUCCCUCCAGCCAUCGCAUCUAGAUAUCACCUAACCAACCAGGACAGAGGAACUUACCAAACAGACAGAAAAAAAUGGAAACUGGUCAGACUCUCAGAGCGCCAAGUGCUAACUCUGCUGCUUCAUCCUACUUUGGCUGGUCCGUUUUUAACACUGUGUGCUGCUGUCUGCCUCUUGGGGUUGCUGCUCUUAUUUAUUCUAACAAGGUAACAGAAGCCAUUGCUGCUGGAGACACAGUUACUGCUGCAAAAGCAUCCAGGACAGCCAAGAUCUUGAACAUAUUCUCCACUGUCUUUGCACUAAUCGUCAUCAUCACUGUGAUAAUUGUAAAUCUCAUUAUUUUCUUAAGUUGAUCAAGAACUGAUUAACUUGAUGGUCAUGCUUAGGGUAAAGCAUAACCUAAGCAUAACUUUCCUUCUCUUUUUACAACCACAGCAAAAUUUAAUAAACUGAUGAGUUGAAAGA
Molecule: long non-coding RNA, 546 nt
Organism: Gambusia affinis (western mosquitofish)
Lineage: Eukaryota; Metazoa; Chordata; Actinopteri; Cyprinodontiformes; Poeciliidae
Exons: 2
Source: RefSeq, a predicted model, not a curated record